GACGAACGCUGGCGGCGUGCUUAACACAUGCAAGUCGAACGGAAAGGCCCGGCGUUUGUGGGGUGCUCGAUUGGCGAAGGGGGGAGUAACACGUGAGUAACAUGCCCUUGACAUUGGGAGAAAUUCACGAAACUGGGGCUAAUACCGGAUAGAAGCUCUUGCUGCAUGGUGGGGGAUGGAAAGAGUCGGCGGUUGGGGAUGGACUCGCGGCUUAUGAGCUUGUUGGUGGGGUAGUGGCUGCCCAGGGCUUUGACGGGUAGGCGGCCUGAGAGGGUGACCGGGCACAAUGGUACUGAGGGACGGCGCAGAAGCCUACCGGACGCAGCAGGGGAGAACAUUGCACAACGGGCCGAAGCGUGAUGUAGCAGUCUCCCGUGCGGGAAGCUCGGCUACGGGUGGUAAACCGAUUUGGCAUGUAACGAAGAGUGAGUGACGGUACCGAAUAAAGAAGCCCCGGCUAACUACGUG
Molecule: ribosomal RNA, 468 nt
Filed under: uncultured bacterium
Lineage: Bacteria
Description: partial 16S ribosomal RNA
Rfam family: Bacterial small subunit ribosomal RNA
Source: RNAcentral